AACGUAGGAGACAAACGUUAUCCGGAGUUACUGGGCGUAAAGGGCGUGUAGGUGGUUUCGUAAGUCUGGCGUGAAAUUUUUCGGCUUAACCGGGAAAGGUCGUCGGAUACUGCGGAGCUAGAGGACGGUAGAGGCGUGUGGAAUUCCGGGUGUAGUGGUGAAAUGCGUAGAGAUCCGGAGGAACACCAGUGGCGAAGGCGACACGCUGGGCCGUACCUGACACUGAUGCGCGACAGCAUGGGGAGCAACCAGG
RNAcentral lists this ribosomal RNA (253 nucleotides) under uncultured bacterium. RNAcentral's name for it is "partial 16S ribosomal RNA". It matches the Rfam family "Bacterial small subunit ribosomal RNA", at positions 524 to 776 of the family's 1533-position model. The record is from RNAcentral.